CCUACGGGUGGCAGCAGUGGGGAAUAUUGCACAAUGGGCGCAAGCCUGAUGCAGCCAUGCCGUGUGUAUGAAGAAGGCCCUAGGGUUGUAAAGUACUUUCAGUCGGGAAGGAAGGCGUUGAUGCUAAUAUCAUCAACGAUUGACGUUACCGACAGAAGAAGCACCGGCUAACUCCGUGCCAGCAGCCGCGGUAAUACGGAGGGUGCAAGCGUUAAUCGGAAUUACUGGGCGUAAAGCGCACGCAGGCGGUUGAUUAAGUUAGAUGUGAAAUCCCCGGGCUUAACCUGGGAAUGGCAUCUAAGACUGGUCAGCUAGAGUCUUGUAGAGGGGGGUAGAAUUCCAUGUGUAGCGGUGAAAUGCGUAGAGAUGUGGAGGAAUACCGGUGGCGAAGGCGGCCCCCUGGACAAAGACUGACGCUCAGGUGCGAAAGCGUGGGGAGCAAACAGGAUUAGAUACCCGCGUAGUC
This 466-nucleotide ribosomal RNA is filed under the name uncultured bacterium. RNAcentral's name for it is "bacterial SSU rRNA". It matches the Rfam family "Bacterial small subunit ribosomal RNA", at positions 338 to 795 of the family's 1533-position model. The record is from RNAcentral.